Molecule: ribosomal RNA, 767 nt
Filed under: Salmonella enterica subsp. enterica serovar Infantis
Lineage: Bacteria; Pseudomonadati; Pseudomonadota; Gammaproteobacteria; Enterobacterales; Enterobacteriaceae
Also listed under: 7 other names
Description: partial 23S ribosomal RNA
Rfam family: Bacterial large subunit ribosomal RNA
Source: RNAcentral
GUGGACGCCAGUCUGCAUGGAGCCGACCUUGAAAUACCACCCUUUAAUGUUUGAUGUUCUAACGUGGACCCGUAAUCCGGGUUGCGGACAGUGUCUGGUGGGUAGUUUGACUGGGGCGGUCUCCUCCUAAAGAGUAACGGAGGAGCACGAAGGUUGGCUAAUCCUGGUCGGACAUCAGGAGGUUAGUGCAAUGGCAUAAGCCAGCUUGACUGCGAGCGUGACGGCGCGAGCAGGUGCGAAAGCAGGUCAUAGUGAUCCGGUGGUUCUGAAUGGAAGGGCCAUCGCUCAACGGAUAAAAGGUACUCCGGGGAUAACAGGCUGAUACCGCCCAAGAGUUCAUAUCGACGGCGGUGUUUGGCACCUCGAUGUCGGCUCAUCACAUCCUGGGGCUGAAGUAGGUCCCAAGGGUAUGGCUGUUCGCCAUUUAAAGUGGUACGCGAGCUGGGUUUAGAACGUCGUGAGACAGUUCGGUCCCUAUCUGCCGUGGGCGCUGGAGAACUGAGGGGGGCUGCUCCUAGUACGAGAGGACCGGAGUGGACGCAUCACUGGUGUUCGGGUUGUCAUGCCAAUGGCACUGCCCGGUAGCUAAAUGCGGAAGAGAUAAGUGCUGAAAGCAUCUAAGCACGAAACUUGCCCCGAGAUGAGUUCUCCCUGAGACUUAGAGUCUCCUGAAGGAACGUUGAAGACGACGACGUUGAUAGGCCGGGUGUGUAAGCGCAGCGAUGCGUUGAGCUAACCGGUACUAAUGAACCGUGAGGCUUAACCUU